Caenorhabditis elegans is the source of this 464-nucleotide long non-coding RNA. Ensembl annotates it as ncRNA. Its record names the gene linc-75. The record is from Ensembl. NCBI's taxonomy places the organism in Eukaryota, Metazoa, Nematoda, Chromadorea, Rhabditida, Rhabditidae.
GGAAUAUUGAGAAAAAUCGCCAUAAUUUGCGCGCAAAAAGCACCUGCGUCAAAAAGAACCUCUCGCAUGCUAUCCCGAAACGCCGAUGGCGAGAGAGCGUGUGGAGAAGAUAUUCGCAGGCGUCUCAGCAGUUCUCAUCAAACCAUGGACACGUAAUAUUUACAACUGUAUUUACAACCUCAGGGCGACGACGACUCCAGUGGCUCUAUUGUGAGUAAUUCAUUCAUUCAUGUUUUCGUGGGCGACUGGUGGUUGCCCGUUUUCUUAUUCUAACUAAUAUUCUAUUAAACACUAUUUUCUUUUCUUCUGGCGCACCGGAGCUUCUGAAACAUUUGAAAGCUAUAGAAGCAACUGCCUCAACUACAAUUCACCUCAAAACCAUUGGAUGCCGCUCUAAUUUUUAAAAAAUAAUGAAACAAUUUUUUUUAUUUAAUAAUCUGUUUUCAAUAAAGUAUUGUAAAUAU